GGAAGUAAAAGUCGUAACGAGGUUUCCGUAGGUGAACCUGCGGAAGGAUCAUUAUUGUAUAACCGAGGUGCGAGGGCUGUCGCUGACCCGAAAGGUCGUGCACGCCCGAGUGCCCUCACACACAUCCAUCUCACCCCUAUGUGCACCACCGCGUGGGUCCCCCUUUGGCUUGUUCGGAGGGGGGCUUACGCUUUCACACAAACUUUGUAUGCAGUGUAGAAUGUAUUUUUUGUUUUUGCGAUCACGCAAUCAAUACAACUUUCAACAACGGAUCUCUUGGCUCUC
Molecule: unclassified non-coding RNA, 285 nt
Filed under: plant metagenome
Description: partial contains small subunit ribosomal RNA, internal transcribed spacer 1, and 5.8S ribosomal RNA
Rfam family: Eukaryotic small subunit ribosomal RNA (bases 1-54)
Source: RNAcentral